This is a long non-coding RNA of Sarcophilus harrisii (Tasmanian devil), 1749 nucleotides long. RefSeq lists it as uncharacterized. NCBI's taxonomy places the organism in Eukaryota, Metazoa, Chordata, Mammalia, Dasyuromorphia, Dasyuridae. The record is from RefSeq and is a predicted model, not a curated record. The transcript is spliced from 3 exons.
UACUAACAUCUAUUAAGUUUUUCUUUUCAGCCUGACUGAAAUAAAGGCACUCAGAGCACAUGUAAGAUCUCCCUAUGAAAUGAGACAGAUCACAGAAUCAAAAAUAUAAUGCUGGAUAAACCUUGGAAGUUUUUAUCCCAGGUCCCUUUCAUUUUAUAAAUGAAUAAACUAAAAUCUGAUAAGGUUAAAUUACUUAGAAUGGUAAGAUCACAUGUCUAAAGCUAAUAAAUAAACUCAGAAGCCACAUGGUCCAACCCCACCCUGGAAGACAAUCAUAUGCUCAAGGUAGUGUCAAAAUUGGAUUUGAAUCUAGAGGCUCCCUAACCAAUGGAUGUUUCCCUGGUCACAAAGGUAACAGCAGAGAGUAAAAUAUAAACCCUCUUUCUCCAAAUUGAAGUGUCUUUCCAUUUUACUAUGAACUCUCACUUCUGCAGCUUCUGAUCAAAAGAAUCUGAAUAACUCAGCAUCGGGAGGAAGGAAGAUGGAAGCAUUGCUCCAUUUCAGAGAGAUGUGGGGGGGGGGGGUGUAAACAUUCUUUCCCCUCUUCCAUUAUGAAGUGUUUUUCUCGCUGCAGACCAUAGAGAAUGACAACAAACAACAUUCUAGCCAUGUAAUAUGCCCUGUAUUAUAGCUUCAGCCAAAGCUCUUUAACUGAACGAGCAAGUGUUAUUGAUUUCAUAAACAUGGAGGUUGCGCCCUUUACCUCCGGGCCAGAUCCGUUAGUGGAGUCUGGAAGCUCCAGGGAGAUGUUGUGAUAUGUAAACAUCAGUUUGUGGUUGGCUGUACCAGGGUACUCUAGAAUGUUUCCAAGAUGCUGAGGGCUGGAAAGAGAGGGCAGAAACAUCCAAAGCUUGUGCUUCUCAAAAGCAGAAAAAGAGAAGUAAUAAAUGCACUCUGUGAAUGAGUUACCAUGGAGAAGCUAUUCCAGCCAAAGAAGAAUCCACUAGAGAAAAAGCAACAUACAACUUGUCAGCAAAAAUGGCAAGAUAUCAUAAACGAAGCAACAUGGGAUUUAUUUUGUGAUCUCUUUGGGUAAUUCUAUGCUACAGCUACAAAAGACCUCAGAAGUCUUGAUUUCCAAUCCCCGACUUCUACAAAUGAAGAAAUGAAAUCCAAGAAAUGUUAAGUGAUUUGCUCAGUUUCCUCAGACUGAAAUCCUGGCAAUUAUGAAAGACAGGUUUUGAACCCUCAUCUUUGAACUUCAGAAUGGGUGCUCUUUGACUUAUACCACCCUGUGCAGCAGCCACGACUGCCUAUAAGGGCACUAACAGGGACCUAGCUUAAUGAUUUUCCUUCUUGGGGCUAAUACCAACCUCUCACAUAGACAAUGAAGUUGCCAUUGGACCACCUUGCACUAAUAAAAUUCAUCAGAAACAAAUCUCUGCCUCUUAUCAGGAUAUAAUUAGUGGACAGAAGAAAUGGUAGCCCAUUCUUUGACUUUACAACAGAGCGGGCUUCAAGGGGAAAAAAAGAGGAAUUUUGGAAACAAUAGGAAAAUUCUAGCCACAAAUGCAUAAGUUUAUUAUUUUUAAAAUUUGGGAUUUGUGAUUUAUUUCAUGAUUGUGAGGAGCCCAAUACACCCUGUUGUCAUCUGUAAUCUUAGAGAAUUAUACUUGGGCAGUAGAACAUAACAUCAUAUGUCAAAGGUAUUAUGGAAACCCAGGCCUUCUUGAGUACAAGCCUGGCUCUCUUGUCCUUCUCCCAUGCUGCUUGUCUACCAAGAGCCUGUUGUUUCUGAACACUGGAAAU